This 547-nucleotide ribosomal RNA is filed under the name uncultured bacterium. RNAcentral's name for it is "bacterial SSU rRNA". It matches the Rfam family "Bacterial small subunit ribosomal RNA", at positions 358 to 916 of the family's 1533-position model. The record is from RNAcentral.
GGAAUAUUGGGCAAUGGACGAAAGUCUGACCCAGCGACGCCGCGUGCGGGAUGAAGGCCUUCGGGUUGUAAACCGCUUUCAGCAGGGAAUAAGCGCAAGUGAAGGUACCUGCAGAAGAAGCACCGGCUAACUAUGUGCCAGCAGCCGCGGUAAUACAUAGGGUGCAAGCGUUGUCCGGAAUUAUUGGGCGUAAAGAGCUCGUAGGUCGUUUGUUACGUCGGAUGUGAAAACCUGAGGCUCAACCUCAGGCCUGCAUUCGAUACGGGCAAACUAGAGUUUGGUAGGGGAGACUGGAAUUCCUGGUGUAGCGGUGGAAUGCGCAGAUAUCAGGAGGAACACCAAUGGCGAAGGCAGGUCUCUGGGCCAAUACUGACACUGAGGAGCGAAAGUCUGGGGAGCGAACAGGAUUAGAUACCCUGGUAGUCCAGACCGUAAACGGUGGGCACUAGUUGUGGGAACCUUCCACGGUUUCUGCGACGCAGCUAACGCAUUAAGUGCCCCGCCUGGGGAGUACGAUCGCAAGAUUAAAACUCAAAGGAAUUGACGG